UUCGAACCAAUCCGGGAGAUUCUUCUCGGCUUCCUUCGCCUUGGCUUCCUGCUGCGAUUCACCGGGCGGCGCUGGUGGCGCUGGCGCUUUGGAACUCUCGGGAUCGCUGGGCGGCUGCGGCUCCUUCUUAGUGUCCUCGUCCUCCUCCUAUGGCCAAAAACACAUCAGUCAUGAAAUGAUGAUCCCUUCCAGAUCGAUGAAGCGAUGAUCCGGGAAGAAAGACUAGAGCGCUCGAUGGAGUGGCCAUUGCCAACGGGAAGAACGACUAGAGCGUGCUCAUUGCCAAAAUGAAAGGCAGCUAAAAGGAUCUCUAGCUUGGGUCGACCGAUGAGCUAUAAGACGAACGCACGACCGAUAUGCAUCUAUGGAUUGAGGACGAUCGCACGAGCGGUUAGAUAUUUCGAUCGAAAUUUCCCGCAAACACCGAAAGAACAAUCGAGAAUGACGCUCAUCAAUGCCGCAAUAUGCAAGAGAGCUUGCCGCUAAGAGGGAAGAACCGAUCGAUAGCUGCGGAUAGAUCUGCUAGGAGGGAAAGAAAUCGAUCGGCGCAAAGAGAGAUGCAAGGGACUGCGGCGACAAGGAAAGAACCGAUCGACAGCUGCGAUAUUUCGGCUAGCGGAGGGAUAGAAAUCGAUCGGUGCGGCGAGAAGGAAAGAACCGAUCGAUAAGCUGAUAUUUCUGCUAGAGAAUGCGGGCAUCGAUGCGCGGGAGGGAAAAGAGAAGGAAAUCGAUCGGCGCAAAGAGAGAUUACCUUGCAGCCUUCCGCCACUGGCGGCUGCUGCUGCUGCUGCUGCCUCCGCCGCUGAUCUUCAUCCCGCAUCACAUCCAGAAGCAUAGAUUGGAAGUCGAGGCUCG
Molecule: long non-coding RNA, 855 nt
Filed under: Selaginella moellendorffii
Lineage: Eukaryota; Viridiplantae; Streptophyta; Lycopodiopsida; Selaginellales; Selaginellaceae
Description: long non-coding RNA (SMOE_LNC000542)
Source: RNAcentral